Molecule: non-coding RNA, 225 nt
Organism: Pelobates cultripes (western spadefoot toad)
Lineage: Eukaryota; Metazoa; Chordata; Amphibia; Anura; Pelobatidae
Source: the annotation of a GenBank genome assembly
AAAAUCCUUCCUGAGCUCUCCAGUGAAUUUAGAUAUUUAAGAAUUAAGAGCCAUGUGUCCAACUAUAUAUGUAAGAGAGAUAAAGAAAUAGAGGGACUGGAAUUCUUAUUAAAACAUGGAGUUUAAACUAGAGUUGUAAUGAAAAGCAUCUUGUUCAAUGAACAAGAUUUACCAUCAGGUAGACCUGUUUCAACUUUAAAAGGUAAAUGGAAAAAAGAGUUGGAU